CGCGUAGGCGGUCCUUCAAGUCGGAUGUGAAAACCGGUAGCUUAACUACCGGCCUGCACUCGAUACUGUUGGUCUUGAGUACAGAAGAGGAGAGCGGAAUUCCAGGCGUAGCGGUGAAAUGCGUAGAUAUCUGGAAGAACACCCGUAGCGAAGGCGGCUCUCUGGUCUGAUACUGACGCUGAAGCGCGAAGGCUUGGGUAGCAAACAGGAUUAGAUACCCUGGUAGUCC
This 229-nucleotide ribosomal RNA is filed under the name uncultured bacterium. RNAcentral describes it as "partial 16S ribosomal RNA". It matches the Rfam family "Bacterial small subunit ribosomal RNA", at positions 568 to 796 of the family's 1533-position model. The record is from RNAcentral.